GACGAACGCUGGCGGCGUGCUUAACACAUGCAAGUCGAACGGUGAAGCGCCUUCCUUUUUGGUGGGUGUGGAUGAGUGGCGAACGGGUGAGUAACACGUGAGUAACCUGCCCCCUUCUUCUGGAUAACCGCAUGAAAGCGUGGCUAAUACGGGAUAUUCUGGGUCUGUCGCAUGUUGGGUCUGGGAAAGAUAUUGUUUCGGUGGGGGACGGGCUCCCGGCCUAUCAGCUUGUUGGUGGGGGGAUGGCGUACCAAGGCGGUGACGAGUAGCCGGCCCGAGAGCGCUGACCGUCACACUAGGACUGAGACCCGGCCAAGACUCCUGCGGGAGGCGGCAGUGGGAAAUAAUGCACACUGGGCGCAAGCCUGAUACAGCGACGCCGCGUGAGGGAUGGAGGCCUUCGGGUUGUAAACCUCUUUCGCCAGUGAAGCAGGCCUGCCUCGUUUGUGGGUGGGUUGACGGUAGCUGGAUAAGAAGCGCCGGCUAACUACGUG
Molecule: ribosomal RNA, 494 nt
Filed under: uncultured bacterium
Lineage: Bacteria
Description: partial 16S ribosomal RNA
Rfam family: Bacterial small subunit ribosomal RNA
Source: RNAcentral